Molecule: ribosomal RNA, 432 nt
Filed under: uncultured bacterium
Lineage: Bacteria
Description: bacterial SSU rRNA
Rfam family: Bacterial small subunit ribosomal RNA
Source: RNAcentral
AACGAACGCUGGCGGCAGGCCUAACACAUGCAAGUCGAGCGAGACCUUCGGGUCUAGCGGCGGACGGGUUAGUAACGCGUGGGGAACUGCCCUUCUCUGCGGAAUAGCCACUGGAAACGGUGAGUAAUACCGCAUACGCCCUUCCGGGGGAAAGAUUUAUCGGAGAAGGAUCGGCCCGCGUUAGAUUAGAUAGUUGGUGGGUAACGGCCUACCAAGUCUACGAUCUAUAGCUGGUUUUAGAGGAUGAUCAGCAACACUGGGACUGAGACACGGCCCAGACUCCUACGGGAGGCAGCAGUGGGGAAUAUUGGACAAUGGGCGCAAGCCUGAUCCAGCCAUGCCGCGUGUGUGAUGAAGGUCUUAGGAUCGUAAAGCACUUUCGCCAGGGAUGAUAAUGACAGUACCUGGUAAAGAAACCCGGCUAACUCCGUG